This 465-nucleotide ribosomal RNA is filed under the name uncultured bacterium. RNAcentral's name for it is "partial 16S ribosomal RNA". It matches the Rfam family "Bacterial small subunit ribosomal RNA", at positions 28 to 507 of the family's 1533-position model. The record is from RNAcentral.
GACGAACGCUGGCGGCGUGCUUAACACAUGCGAGUCGUACGGUAAGGCCCUUUCGGGGGUACACGAGUGGCGAACGGGUGAGUAACACGUGAGUAACCUGCCCACAACUUUGGGAUAACGCUAGGAAACUGGUGCUAAUACUGGAUAUGUGCUCCUGCUGCAUGGUGGGGGUUGGAAAGCUCCGGCGGUUGUGGAUGGACUCGCGGCCUAUCAGCUUGUUGGUGGGGUAGUGGCCUACCAAGGCGGCGACGGGUAGCCGGCCUGAGAGGGUGACCGGCCACAUUGGGACUGAGAUACGGCCCAGACUCCUACGGGAGGCAGCAGUGGGGAAUAUUGCACAAUGGGCGCAAGCCUGAUGCAGCAACGCCGCGUGCGGGAUGACCGCCUUCGGGUUGUAAACCGCUUUCAGCAGGGACGAAGCUUUUUGUGACGGUACCUGCAGAAGAAGCACCGGCUAACUACGUG